AACCAACAGUCUGCUAGUUGUUGUUAGCAGCUAUUUAACUUUAGCUAACUUAGUGUAGCUGACUGCUACUGCUUUCACAUAAGAGUGGUCUAUCUUGAUGAUUAUAGAUGCAUUAGUUUAUGUCAAUAUGAACACGGAUCCUUCAACGCGUUGGAAUGCUCUUUUUGACAGCUUCAAACCCGUCCAUUGAUUCAGAUGAGUUUGAUUACUGCACUUAGUUAACUAACAACAAGUGCAGCAGUAAGACAACGUUAGCUAGCUAGCCCUAUGAAAAGCCCUUAAUUUGUAUGAACUUUGCUACUUACUUGCUGUUCUACUAGAGUUGUUUAUUUGUUUUUGAAUUGUGUUUGCCAGAGUAAAUCUAGAUAAAUGUACCAAACGUUAGCUGAAAUUUGGCUAACCUUACAGUUUGAAAAUUAAGAAGACAUAUCCAUCUUUCGGCGACCAGUAGCCCUUCUUCCUAAACACACAGAGGGCCUAGUGUGUCUUGUCAUUGGAGGACUCUGAAAUAGAGAAGCUUCAAAUAUCUGUGGCACAGUCACAACUGUGUUGGACAGAGGAGACCGUUUGCCCACAUAGAGAGCCUACAACUGAACCCCAUGGAGUUUAUCAAGCCACUGAAUUAGCCCAGCAGGGCACACACCAGGAGCCCAGUCCCAUAGGUAAUAAGGUAAAUGAGAUAUGCAGCCAUGACUCUAUUAGAAAUGCAGCUUGGGCAGGAGGCCAUCCAUGCAGCAACGUUCCUGUGGAGAUGAAAGGGGACACCUCAGCGCACCACGGCCAUGGCACACUAAACAGACAAAAAACAACUGAGUCCACAUCGCCACACCCUUCACAUAACACAGCUUGUGAAGAAAACCCAUUGUCACUCAAUGCUUUGAGAAAGACACAGAGAACAGAUCCAAAUGGCUCUAUGAAAAAGCCACUACAAGAUAGUCAAACUGUUUUGUCUUUUGAGCCACUGGCGCACUGGGAUCUGGACCAGAUUCUUCUGACUCUUCAAACAGGUGGACUCUUUUUAGGAGGCAGUGUGUCUGACGAACCUAUUGAAGUACAACCAGAUGGAGACAAUGUAAGGUCAGAGGAUACUAUAUUGGAGAGGCGGGCUGCUUUCUGUAGGACACAGUCAUGUGGAGAUGCUGAAGAGAAAAGAGAAACUGCGCCAGAUAAAACUUCUGGUGUUCCUCAGAAAGCACCUGUCCAACAUCCUACCAAUUUCAGACAAAAUGGUGGAUGGAGAAAGUCUUUCAAAAGGAUGGCAUUUGAGUUAAAGCCAAGCUGCCAGGAAGCGCCCCACCAUUUAUAUUGAUUUACGUAACCCUGAGCCUCCCACGAACACAACCAGACCAUGUAACAGCACUUCAUCACAAUCCAUGAAACGGACCAACCUCAACCUACACGACAAAAAACAAUCUGAUGAGAAAACAGACAGAAAUAUACGGUCUGGUUUACUGAAUGGAAAAGAGGAAGUAACUGGAAAGAGCCUGUUACUCAGAAUGUUACGCGAGGCGAACAGAAACAGGAGAGAGCCGGACAGGAAAGAUCUAGUUGCAGCGGAUUCUACAUGCAGAACCCCCAGAAGAGUGGCCUUGAAGGACAAGCUGCCUGAGGCUAACAAUGAGAUAACAUCUCUGCUUCCAGAGGUGGACAACCACAAUGAAGCGUGUCCAAAACUGGCCGCCAGUUGAGAGAACACCUGCUAUUGAGCAGAGUGCUACUACCGGGCAGCCAAAGAAACAAAGUGACCGAGAGCAGAGAGCAACAGAAACAGAGAGUACAGCGCCAGCAACAGCUCCAGAAACAGCUGGAAAGCUUUAGACCAACAAGGUCUGCCGGAGACAGGGAGACUGCCGCUUGAGAAGACUGAUGUUCUUUAUGAUAC
Molecule: long non-coding RNA, 1882 nt
Organism: Oncorhynchus kisutch (coho salmon)
Lineage: Eukaryota; Metazoa; Chordata; Actinopteri; Salmoniformes; Salmonidae
Exons: 7
Source: RefSeq, a predicted model, not a curated record